Non-coding RNA from Actinobacteria bacterium IMCC26256, 271 nucleotides. It matches the Rfam family "Bacterial large signal recognition particle RNA". From Rfam's summary of the family: The signal recognition particle (SRP) is a universally conserved ribonucleoprotein involved in the co-translational targeting of proteins to membranes. Archaeal SRP consists of a 7S RNA and homologues of the eukaryotic SRP19 and SRP54 proteins. In most bacteria, the SRP consists of a 4.5S RNA and the Ffh protein (a homologue of the eukaryotic SRP54 protein). The record is from Rfam. Lineage: Bacteria; Bacillati; Actinomycetota; Actinomycetes.
CCGUGCUAGGCGGGGAGUUCGUGGUGCCCUAUACCCCAGAUCCACUUUUAGGGGGCUGAAUUCCCAUCCGAGGCCCGAUUUGCCACUGUUAGAGCGCCUCGCACGUGGUGUUGUGAGUCGGGUCCUUAAGCAACGGGAUCUUCGUGAAACGAGUCAGGUCCGUAAAGGAAGCAGCUCUCAGCGGAGCCUCCCGUGUGCCUUGAGGUAGCCCGGCUUCUAGCCGGCGACGAGACACGCGGGCAGUGGCUCCGGGUCGACGGUGGGUGCACGG